This is a long non-coding RNA of Grammomys surdaster, 1032 nucleotides long. RefSeq lists it as uncharacterized. The transcript has 3 exons. The record is from RefSeq and is a predicted model, not a curated record. NCBI's taxonomy places the organism in Eukaryota, Metazoa, Chordata, Mammalia, Rodentia, Muridae.
AGAGGAGAGGAGGAGUGAGUGGUGGGGAGACAGAUGGGGAGCUGGCAGGAACUCCAGGGGGAUCCCCAAGUCCCACGUUAUUCUGGAAGGUUGUGCCAAGAAGGUGCUUUUGGUUGCUCUCCUUCCCAUCUGGGUCUCUCUGCACCCGAAGAAGUGACUGUCCAUCUGGGCAGGCCCAGAACUGAUCGCUUGUGAGCCCCCUCCCACUGGUUGGCAGAUACUGAGCAAGGCCUGGACUUAUCCCUCAGCAAGAAACAAGAGGAAGCCCUGGGAUGAUUCAGGAAACACUUGUUUGCCUGUCCUUGCUUGGCUGUCCAUGGGAGGAGAGAAAAAGGAUUGUCCAGGCACCAUCCCCUGCUAAACAUGGUCCUUUGUGUUGACAUUUGGGGAUCAUGUCCUGGCUCCCCGUGGUUAAAGAUCAGAUGGCUCACACUUCUGACUGGAAGUGCUCAGAACAAGAGUCCAGGUGUGGUUGCUGCCUUGAGAGAUGCAGGAGAAGCCUGAAGGAAACUCUUCUAGAGCAGCAACCUGCCUCUCCCUCAGGAACUAGCUGAGCCUGAAGCCUGAGGAUGAUAGAGCCGACAGCCUUCAGGGAGCCUGGGAGGAUCCAUGACACCCACUGGCAGCCUGGACACCUUGGUCCUGAGACCCAGGGCAACAGUGUGGAGAACAGUUCUGGAAUGGACCACUUGACCUUGUGUCUGCCGGACAAAGGCUUCAGCCUCAACCAUUUCAAUCUGACAAACGCCAUCAGAUCCCACAAGAUCUUUCUCCACAAAGAAGUCCUGUGUCCCAUCCUAACCAAUACCUGAGUUAUACUGCACCCUUCCACCUGCCUCCUGCCCUGCCUCCUUUGUUUCUUCUACAGCCUUCCCCGGAGUCACUGCCUUCUCCACGGCGCCUAAGAGCAAGCCCAUGAAACAUUCAUGAGCCCACAUGGUGAGAGAACUAAUUCCUACAAGUUAUCCUCGAACUUCUACAUGUGCCAUGGUGCACCUGUGCACAUAUUAAAUAAAUAAGUAUAAUUUUAAA